AACUGUUUUUUUUGCGCUUUUACGGGCGUUUUGCCCUUGGUAGGGCCCUGGGGCCUUGAUUGCAACAAAUCGCGUGUCUUUUGCAAACAUGUGAGAUUUCUGCUACGGUCGGUUAGCUGGGCACUAUUCUUUCUUAUGGGGUUACGUGCUGUUGGUGGUGAUCUUGUUGUGCACUUGGUAUUUGACGCCAAUUAUUUGUGUAUGUUUUACAGGGUGAUGUUUCAAUGCCCCUAGGAAAUCAAGAGACUAUGCGGACUGUUGUGAGGCUAAACUAUCACUCAAAAUGCAAGAGAAAUCAUGUUCCUAAAAAAGCGGAUUUGCGGCUCCGAUUUUCAUGGAGCCCUGCUUGCUCUACCAUUAGUGCUCUACCAACUGCUCUACCAUCUGAGCUACAUCUCCGGUCACGUUCAAUUGAUGAACGCCACUUGUUGCUCACGUUCAUACUAAUAAUCAUGCGUUGAUAAAUUAUAUACUCAACGUUCCGUUCUCUUUACCAUA
Molecule: non-coding RNA, 498 nt
Organism: Physcomitrium patens
Lineage: Eukaryota; Viridiplantae; Streptophyta; Bryopsida; Funariales; Funariaceae
Source: RefSeq, a predicted model, not a curated record